Long non-coding RNA from Astatotilapia calliptera (eastern happy), 6237 nucleotides. The record is from Ensembl. NCBI's taxonomy places the organism in Eukaryota, Metazoa, Chordata, Actinopteri, Cichliformes, Cichlidae.
CUGGACACUGGGAGUGGUCCCCUUCAAAGUAAAAGUUGUGCCUUACCGUUUACACCAACAUCUUCCAAAAACCACAACUUUUACUCUGAAGACCAAGACUAUCCAUUUGUGUUUACAUUGGACUCUUCACAGUUUCAGUACCACUUUUCGAACAGUUUUCAGGUGUUGGCAAUAUGUUACACACUGUAUACCUCUCUGUAGCCGAUUUCACCUCACAACUAGCAACAGCCUCUAGCAACCACUCGCCUACUGAUUAAGAAAUACCCAUUUUUCCCUAGUGACCAAUUAUUACCAACAAGCCACUGACUGGUCUCUUGUCAGCAGCCUAUAGAAACCUUAACAAUCAAUGGUUGCUGGAGUGACCAGUGGUUGCCAGGCUCCUGCCAACCAGUCUCUUGACUUGUAUGACUGGACCCUUAAUGGUUGAAGUGGAAAGGGAGGAGCCGGUGAACAAUUUUCCACCAGUAGGAGCAGGCUAAAUAGUCGCUGCGCACUAUUUAGCAAAAAGCAACCUGUUUUUUUUAGGCAGUGGAUCUGCAUUCGUAGCUUGGGUUGUUUUAGUGUAGGCAAAACUAGUUUUAGGUCAGUGAUUUGUAACUUGUAAUGCUGCAAGUAUUGCGACAGUUCGAGCUACCUGCUACUAUAGUAGUUCUCUGAGUGAACAGCUUGCCAUGUUCAAGUUGAAAUGACAGUACCCUGUCAAAUGUCACACCCUACACAAGUAGGUACUUGGUUUACUACAUCAAAAUUAAUAUUCAUAAGUAUCAGAAAAUGAGACGCACCUCUGAACUCACAAAGUGAUUCUCAACAGCAGCUUCUUAAAAUCUCAGGUCCAAAUAGUCCAAUCUUUGAUUAUAUUCAGAGUGGAUCUCUGAAUGUGAUGAUGACCAGCAUGUCUGUUACUAUAUUUUCACAUUUCAAAAUCACUUGCAGCUUCACUAACUAGGCAAGAAAGUUAUCACUAAUACUAUAAAAUGUUAGUGUUUUUCUUCACUCAAAAAGGGCUGGUACAUCAUUCAUUAUUUAAUAUGUGAGGAAGAGAACCACCCACCUUGUAGUUUUGUUAACAAAAAGUACAUAUAUAGAUGUACAAAAACCGAAGCAAAGCCAAUACUGUCUUAAAAAAUUCACCUUCAAAGACACAUUUCAUUAUAUUAACAUUAGUACAGUAAUAAUAAUAAGAGAACUACAUUUGAAACAACCAUUAAUAGAGCUGAAAUCCUUAUGGUGCACCUGCAGAAAUGUUUUUUUUUUAACUUCAGAAAUGCAAUGACUGAGUACAGAUAGUGACAACAAGCUUAAAGUAAUGCAGUGUAAUAUAACAGUAAAUCCUAUAUUAUAUACAGCCACAUUUCUGUACUUAUCUCUGUAGUUUGGGGGGAGAAAAUAAUAUUACUACUAGCAUUACAGACAACAUUGUCCAAAAUCAGCACCUCUCUGAAAGAAGAGCACUUUCAGCUUUAGCAGCCAGGUGCGCAUAUGAAUAAAUACUCUAGGUUAAUAUGAACAAUCAGUCUAGCAUUUUUUUAAAUGCUUUUCAAGCACCAAGAACAGCUGACAAUCAAAAGUUCAACAUUAAUUUUUCUUUAAACCUUAUGCUUCUUAUUCACUUGGUUUAUGUCUAUGUUUGUGAGGCUCUUCUCCUCUACAUACUAAGAAAUCAAGCAGAGAGAAGAGCAUAACUUUUGGGCAUAUCCCUAUAAGUGUGUCAUGGAGCCACCUGAAAUUCCGUCACCCGCGCAGAUUAAAAAAAUCAAAGGUUGUAUUUUAUUCCACACACUGACGCAAACAUUUGGGGAGUAACUUCCACCCAAAUAGCUUAGAAAAAUAUGCAUAAUCCUAAAGCCAUAAAUAUAAUUUGUUGAGCUUCUUUGUCCUUCGUCAACCAUGGAUCGUUCCUCGAUGUGCGAUUGUAGAGUUUGCUCAGACUGCUUGAAACAUUUGCUCAAUAGGUUCAUAUUUUCUCUCUCAAAUGCAUUUACUUUUGUGAGCGUGAUAUCGGGACACUUUGGAAAAAUGUGGAAAGCACCUUUGGAAAACCAUGAGAUUACUUAUUAGUGUUACACAUUGUACCCCUAACAAGACUGCUGUAUGCUGCCUGACCAAGACAAAUUUCAGUAUUUUGCAUUGAUGACAACGUGCACUUGCCGUGGGCUUGUUUCUGUAAGGUUAGGGAAUACCCCAGCAUUUAUUUCCAUCCAGAGUUCUAUUAGGAUUUUCCAAAGGUUUCAUCAUUGAUGAUGGGAGAGUCAGACUGCUGUAUAAAACCUUCUUCAGCAAAGAUUCUCAGUGUGGAUAAAGCGCUCUCCAGUCUGCCGUACCCCUCGAACUUCCCAUUCCCAUUAUUGGGAAAAACCUAGUAAUUCAGCGCCUCACCCAUGCUCGAGGUUUCUUCCUGUUAAAUAAAAUGAGUUUUUCCUUCCAAGUGGCCAAGUGCUUGCCCUCUGUAUUAUUUUAGGCUCUUUACCUUACCUUACCUCAAGCAACUCGAGGCCACCAAUGUUGUGAUUUCGCAAUAUAUAAAUAAAAUGGAAGUUAAUUGACUUCAGUAGCUUCAGGUUGUCAGCUGACCUUUUUCUUGGGGCACGUAAUGUUCUCGAACCUAAACCUGACCAACUGAAGCAACUUCAGGUCAUAACGCUGAUCCCACAGGAUGUUGUGUGGUAGGCAUUUCACCUGCCUGUUCUUCCCCAAAUAUUCCCAUCAAUCUGAUGACCUUUUUCCAUUGCUCCAGAGUCUGAUCUUCAUGCUCCCUAGCAAAUAUAAACCUCAUUUAAGCCACGUUUUCUUAAAGCAACGUAGCUUCCAUUGAGCUCUCAGUGUGCACUUAGAAAUAUUUACCUUCACUGUUAAACAUAUCCUUGAUUUCUGCUGUUGAUCUGUUUUAGUAGUUUCACCAUGUAGGCCAAUAAUUUGACCGUUCUGAAAUGGACUAAUGGCUUUUCCACAACCGCAGAAUAUCUUCAAACAUGGUUGCUUGAGAACUGCAUUGGUUAGUGUUGGAUAAUCUGUUAGCAAAAACAUAUUCAUUACUGCAGUAAUAGGCUUUUAUGUGUUUCCUUAGUUACAUUCAGAUGUGACUUGUUUUGGCCAGACAGUGUAUUAUAUGUUGUAACAUCAUAAAUUGCUGUUAGCUUUCAGAAGUUACUCAACACUUCUGCAGUCCCAUUUCUCUCAUAUGACAAUCGUACAGCCCUUUGUUUUGUUUUUUUAAGGUCAAAGUGGAUCUCAGCACUUGUUGUUUGGUUUACUGGAGAACCUCAGUGAAGGAUUUCCAAUGGUGCUCACAGUUUUCCAUUGUCUUGUUCUCAUCUAGUAUGGUGGAGUAUAAUAGAAGUAUCACACUUGUGUCUAGAAAUAACUCAUGAAAUGUGUUAGCCAUGAGGAUUCAAGGCUGGAAGAAAAAAAUAUUUUUAGAAAUGUGUUUUACCAGUGUUUGCUUCUGAUUUGGCUCAACGCAAAAGCCAUUUUAACUUUAAGGCCAGUCUGUAACUUUUAACGUGCCUGUCAAAAGUGAAGAGCUGCACAGUGACUUCUCUUUAGGCUGAAAUAGAUUUGUUUGUUUGUUUGUUUGUUUGUUUCAGGCAAGUAUUAUCAGGUGAUUAUUUCCUAACACUUUCCCUUCUAGUUGUUAAGAGUAUUUGGUGAACAUUGCUGAGGAUUUGCAGCAGCAUUAUGACUCACUGACUGAAAAUAAAAGUACCGUCCAUGCGGGUGAAUAGCAGCUGCAAAGUGGGAAGGAUCGUGUCAGAUGUCUGCUAAUGUGAUUGAUUGGUGCAGAGAAUUCGGUUGCCAAAAGAAGCACAAACAGAGUGGUAGCACUUCAGCCUGUAUUUGAGUUAUUUUAGUUUUGUUUAGCCUGUGGAGUCAAAACGUAUUACGUAUUCUGUGUUAUCAGGCCUGCUGUUAAUUUUGUACUUAGGAUUUUUUUUCCCCAUUGAUUUUUUUUUUUUAAUCAGCUUUUGUGUAAUCUUAUUUAGUUAGAAACAGCUGUGUGUUUCUGUGUUAAACACACAUCUUUUGAGUGUAAAGGCAAUCUCUGAGGUCUUUUUUUACUAAUUCAACACUGGUGACUAACAUUAUUCUUGGAGACUUAUAGGAAAAGUUUCACAGUUUUGGAGGAAUGUGGUUAUUAGCCCUUUUUUUGGCGGAAAUUAAUUGCAGACUGAUGACCUGUCUGGGCAGUUACAGGGAUAAGGACUAGAAACAGAGGAAAACCCUGACACAAUGCUCCCAAUAGUCCAGGCCUGGGACCACCACACACACACACACAGAUCUUUUUUUGCAUUUAAUGCAAAAUAUAGUAAUCACUAUACUACGGAGCAGCGAACAUGAGAUGUCAGAAUAUGAGAACAGAUUCUCUUCUAAACUGUGAAAUGUUUUCUUCACACUUCUGUGUAACGAACAGGAUAUCGUGUCCAGACUUGAGUUGAGUUUUGCUGUUUUCACAAAAAAACAUUUCAGCCAUCUUUUUUUUUUUACUUGUCACAUCUGAGAGAACAUUAUGCAUUUACGUUAUUCAAGUCGUUUUUGCUCAGUUUUUAACUACAGUCAUUAUGUCUUUGGCUCCAGCACCUUCAAACCGUGUACCUGCACAAUGCAACCAGUACAUCUACUAGAUGUACUGGUUGCAUUGUGCUCUCUGUGUAGACACUCAGUUAGCUUUGGCUUGCUGAUAACUGCUGGCUGCAGCUCAACUUCAUUGUGUCGGCGCCACAGUGUCAAAAAAGCAAAUAAGCACGUUUCGUCCGUUAACUGUCCCUUUAGGUCUACCAGUGCAACAAGCCUAACCUGCCCCUCUGCGACAAAUCUAAACACAUUUUUGACAGUUUAGAGUGAGCUUGCAGACUGUGCUACAGGUAAGCCAUAUGCUACUUGUAUUUAAUAUACAGGAAAACUCAUAUUUAUGGUAAGCAAAUGACUGAGUAUUUCAUUCUUGCCUAUGCUGGAUUUUCAACCAUUUGCCCAGCAUUUCUACCUCCAUCACUCAGGCACACAACAAAGGUGUUUUGUGUCCGUUUGCUUGACCCUAAGGUGUUGAAAUUCUCAAAAACAGAUCAGUAACGUGGGAACCCAGUGGUUCCCUGUCACAAAACACUUCAUUCAUCAGUACUUUUAUAGCUGUACCCUGCCCCCAUGGCUAUGCUGUAAUUGCUUCUUCAACUGUGAUUGUUUUUUUGUUUUCUUUUGUUAAGGGUUCGUGCACUGUUUGACAGUCUCUUACUGUAUUUUUUGAUGAUCUGAACAGCAGAAAAUACAUUUAAAGGUGCUAUGUGUAGUAUUGAGUUAUUGAAGAAGGUGUAGUACUGUUGAUGAUUUUGUAUUAAGUCCAAGACUAAGUCACUUUUGCUUCUUAAUUAGCAGACUGGUAGCUGAAUAUUCGGAAGCAACAGAGGCAGUGAAGGAGCUCAGUGACUGUAUGUUGUAGCACAUGUUAUUCUAUUAGGCAGUGAAAAUCCUACACAUACUACCUUUAAGUGAGCAAAGUACUCUUUUUCUUAUGGUAAAGACAUAAAGAAAUUUGUCCAGUUGUGAUUUUUUUUCUUCCCUUUUUGGUGUCUUAAACUGAAUUUGUGUUUUUAAGAAAAUAUUUUCAGAAAAAGGUACAGGUAUGAACAUUGCAUAUUUAUGAAUUUAUCAUGUAUUUUAUGCUUUAUUAAAAUGUGUAUACUCAUUGUGGGCAGUGUUUUUAGUAAUGUUUCGAUUUUGUUAAUUUAUUACCUAAAUGUUAAAAUAUUUAACUUUCAAAACAUGACACUUGGUACAAACAUACAGGAUAUUUAAAUAUGAUACUUUGCAUGUGCACUGUGUUCGAUUAAACUGCAUUAAAUUCAAAUAAAAAUGGGUUUGAUGCCCAAAGUGUCUGUUUAUGCUCUGAGUAUUUACUUACUUUUCUUUCUUUGCGUAGAAUAAGGAUCUGUGCAUAUUUUAUGUCAUUUCUUUUACUGAUGUUUAUUUGUAUCUCAAUAGACAAAGAACAGCUAAGUGGUUGAAAAAAUAAGGUUUUCAGAGGAAAGGUGUAUAAUGCUACUGAUGACUGUGCUUGACAUUUCAUUAGGUACACUUUGCCAGUACCCUCUUUUGCCUUCAGAACCGCCCAAAUUCUUUCACGUUAUAGAUUUAAGAAGCUGCUGGAAACAUUCCUCAGAGAUUUUGCAUCCCAAGAAUGCUGUAUUGGAUUGAGAUUUGGUGACUGUUUAGGCUAUUUGACUACAGUAAACUCAUUUCCAUGUUGAA